Molecule: unclassified non-coding RNA, 395 nt
Filed under: soil metagenome
Description: partial contains 5.8S ribosomal RNA, internal transcribed spacer 2, and large subunit ribosomal RNA
Rfam family: 5.8S ribosomal RNA (bases 1-122)
Source: RNAcentral
GAUGAAGAACGCAGUGAAAUGUGAUACUUGGUGUGAAUUGCAGAAUCCCGUGAACCAUCGAGUCUUUGAACGCAAGUUGCGCCCGAAGCCAUCAGGUUGAGGGCACGUCUGCCUGGGCGUCACAUAUCGUUGCCCAAUGCCUAUUGCAGUGCAAUAGGAAUUUCUAGGGCGAAUGAUGGCUUCCCGUGAGCGUUGUUGCCUCGCGGUUGGUUGAAAAUCGAGUCCUUGGUAGGGUGUGCCAUGGUAGAUGGUGGUCGAGUUAGAACGAUACCGAUCAUGUGCAUGCUCCCCAAAAUAUGGCCUCUAUGACCCACACGCGUCUUUUGACGCUCAUGACGAGACCUCAGGUCAGGCGGGGCUACCCGCUGAAUUUAAGCAUAUCAAUAAGCGGAGGA